GUAGGGUGCGAGCGUUGUCCGGAAUUAUUGGGCGUAAAGGGCUCGUAGGCGGUUUGUCGCGUCGGGAGUGAAAACCCAGGGCUUAACCCUGGGCCUGCUUCCGAUACGGGCAGACUAGAGGUAUGCAGGGGAGAACGGAAUUCCUGGUGUAGCGGUGAAAUGCGCAGAUAUCAGGAGGAACACCGGUGGCGAAGGCGGUUCUCUGGGCAUUACCUGACGCUGAGGAGCGAAAGUGUGGGGAGCGAACAGGAUUAGAUACCCUGGUAGUCCACACCGUAAACGUUGGGCGCUAGGUGUGGGACUCAUUCCACGAGUUCCGUGCCGCAGCUAACGCAUUAAGCGCCCCGCCUGGGGAGUACGGCCGCAAGGCUAAA
RNAcentral lists this ribosomal RNA (374 nucleotides) under uncultured bacterium. RNAcentral describes it as "bacterial SSU rRNA". It matches the Rfam family "Bacterial small subunit ribosomal RNA", at positions 527 to 898 of the family's 1533-position model. The record is from RNAcentral.